Molecule: small RNA, 907 nt
Filed under: Arabidopsis thaliana (thale cress)
Lineage: Eukaryota; Viridiplantae; Streptophyta; Magnoliopsida; Brassicales; Brassicaceae
Description: ATSL064420
Source: RNAcentral
CUUUUGUAAAAAAAGUGUCUCUUAUUUAAUAUUGUAAUGCAAUGGUCAUAUUACCAAUUUUAUCUCAUCUAUUUCUCGUUCAAAUUACAUUUUCCUCUUGAGUUUGAGUAAAAAUCCCUCAAGUCUUAUUUGCGCUUGCAAUUUGAAAUUCAUAAACUCAAAUUGGAACAGAUCAGCUUUUGAAUAAACUCAAAUUGGAACAGAUCAGCUUUUGAACAGACCUUAAGGAUGAGGGAUGCACUAUAGCUUUUGAAUAUGAGCCUCAUGUGACCAAGGAGGACUUCUCCCAAGCGUUGACAACUUACUUGCGGUUGCAAGACGAAGAGAACAUUUCAGCUCUUGUGGAAGAGUUGAAGAGCUCGGAAAAUCAAAGUAAAGAAAGGUGUAAAAAGAGAAGACAAAGCUUAUAAAGAAAGUGUCUAUGAGACUUGCUCCUGAGUUCUUUAUAGAUGCCAAUAGAUUUACACUCUGCUGACUUUUAUCAACCUAAGGAAAAGGAGUAUCGUCCUAUCAAUAUCAAACAUAAGAGCAAAGUUGAAGAAAAAGUUGAAAAAGAAGUUGAAGAAGAAGUUGAAAAGUAUGUUCAAGAAUCUCAGUCUGCGACGAGUGAAGGUAUAAAACCCUCUUUUUAUAAUACUUUAGAGGAAUCUAUAUGGAAAUAAGAAAAGCUCUAUGCUAAACUAGGUUUCUUGAUGAUAUGUCUCUAGACGUCUUAUAUUGGUAGAUUGCCAUGGUCUACUUGUAUCGAUUGAUUGCUGCAUUUGUUUGCUUUCUAAGUUGAAAGGUGGAAAAAGGAUAGCUGAACAAACUAUCAUGAGUGUGAAGAGGUGGAAGAUGGAUACAAUUUAUUUAUCAGAUAGAUAUUAGUUUAUUAUUAUCUUUAAUUGUUGUGAUUAUUAGAGAACGA